ACGCGAAAAAAUGCGUAUAACAAACCUGUACAUCCAAAAAAGAUC
RNAcentral lists this unclassified non-coding RNA (45 nucleotides) under Bovine orthopneumovirus. The record is from RNAcentral. Lineage: Riboviria; Orthornavirae; Negarnaviricota; Monjiviricetes; Mononegavirales; Pneumoviridae.